GACGUAGGGUGCAAGCGUUAAUCGGAAUUACUGGGCGUAAAGCGUGCGCAGGCGGUUGUGCAAGACAGAUGUGAAAUCCCCGGGCUUAACCUGGGAACUGCAUUUGUGACUGCACGGCUGGAGUGCGGCAGAGGGGGAUGGAAUUCCGCGUGUAGCAGUGAAAUGCGUAGAUAUGCGGAGGAACACCGAUGGCGAAGGCAAUCCCCUGGGCCUGCACUGACGCUCAUGCACGAAAGCGUGGGGAGCAAACAGG
This 253-nucleotide ribosomal RNA is filed under the name uncultured bacterium. RNAcentral describes it as "partial 16S ribosomal RNA". It matches the Rfam family "Bacterial small subunit ribosomal RNA", at positions 524 to 776 of the family's 1533-position model. The record is from RNAcentral.